Long non-coding RNA from Solea senegalensis (Senegalese sole), 892 nucleotides. RefSeq lists it as uncharacterized. The record is from RefSeq and is a predicted model, not a curated record. The transcript has 3 exons. Lineage: Eukaryota; Metazoa; Chordata; Actinopteri; Pleuronectiformes; Soleidae.
UUCUUCUUCUUGUUCUACCUCUACCACUGUUGCAGCAAUGAAGAAGAGGAAGAGAGGAAAUGACUCCCAGUUAAAAAAGGAGGGGCUUAAGAAGAAAAAGGGUUGUCGAAAAUGUAGUAGACAGAAAAUAUUCCAGUUUGGCUCAAUUUCUGGGAGAAGGAUACAUGAGUGGCAAAACCUGGGAUGACACAUGGGAGCCUGCAAACACAUUUGCACAACAACACCACACUGCCACCCCUGAGUCUCCUCCUCCUUCUGGUUCAGUUAGCUGAACCUAACUGGUUGGGCUCUACUCACAGCAGGGGAAAAGAGACAAUCGACAGAAAUGACUGACACUGAGCUCAAAUCAAAUACUGUGCUGCAACACGUGUCUUUUGUGUUUAUUGAAGGAAUGUGUUCAUGGAUCUUGUGUUCUAUGCCAUUCACACAUCAACCAUGUUAAAUGACAUCUGGUAAACAUCAAUCAUUUAUUAAGCUCAACAUGUAAGAAAGUCAUCAUUCUUAUACUUCAAGUACCAGCACACUAGGGCUAUUGAGUGUUUAGGCUUGCUGAACUUCAGUUAAGUGUUGGCACAGUGCAUGUACCCAGUAUAUGUUUGUGUUUCUUCCAGACAGUUGACACACAUUAAAUGUCGGAAACGACAUUCCGGAAAUGUCGGAAACGUGGAUUAAUGAGGAUAAAGGCGCAGAUUUUUACCUGGAUGGAUACAAAUUGGUCAACGUUAACAGAAGACAUAAAGGUGGGGGAGGAGUGGCCCUGUUCAUUAACAAUAACAUUGAGUAUGAGAUUGUACACAAUAUGUCUGAAGCUGUUGAACAUGUAAUGGAAUGUGUGACAAUUGAAAUCUGUGUGACGAAAGGCAGAAAUAUAGUGUUAAGCUGUGUUUAUAGA